RNAcentral lists this ribosomal RNA (1486 nucleotides) under uncultured bacterium. Its description in RNAcentral is "bacterial SSU rRNA". It matches the Rfam family "Bacterial small subunit ribosomal RNA". The record is from RNAcentral.
GGCUCAGAUUGAACGCUGGCGGCAGGCCUAACACAUGCAAGUCGAACGGUAACAGGAAGCAGCUUGCUGCUUUGCUGACGAGUGGCGGACGGGUGAGUAAUGUCUGGGAAACUGCCUGAUGGAGGGGGAUAACUACUGGAAACGGUGGCUAAUACCGCAUAACGUCGCAAGACCAAAGAGGGGGACCUUCGGGCCUCUUGCCAUCAGAUGUGCCCAGAUGGGAUUAGCUUGUUGGUGAGGUAACGGCUCACCAAGGCGACGAUCCCUAGCUGGUCUGAGAGGAUGACCAGCCACACUGGAACUGAGACACGGUCCAGACUCCUACGGGAGCCAGCAGUGGGGAAUAUUGCACAAUGGGCGCAAGCCUGAUGCAGCCAUGCCGCGUGUAUGAAGAAGGCCUUCGGGUUGUAAAGUACUUUCAGCGGGGAGGAAGGUGUUGCGGUUAAUAACCGCAGCAAUUGACGUUACCCGCAGAAGAAGCACCGGCUAACUCCGUGCCAGCAGCCGCGGUAAUACGGAGGGUGCAAGCGUUAAUCGGAAUUACUGGGCGUAAAGCGCACGCAGGCGGUCUGUCAAGUCGGAUGUGAAAUCCCCGGGCUCAACCUGGGAACUGCAUUCGAAACUGGCAGGCUUGAGUCUUGUAGAGGGGGGUAGAAUUCCAGGUGUAGCGGUGAAAUGCGUAGAGAUCUGGAGGAAUACCGGUGGCGAAGGCGGCCCCCUGGACAAAGACUGACGCUCAGGUGCGAAAGCGUGGGGAGCAAACAGGAUUAGAUACCCUGGUAGUCCACGCCGUAAACGAUGUCUACUUGGAGGUUGUGCCCUUGAGGCGUGGCUUCCGGAGCUAACGCGUUAAGUAGACCGCCUGGGGAGUACGGCCGCAAGGUUAAAACUCAAAUGAAUUGACGGGGGCCCGCACAAGCGGUGGAGCAUGUGGUUUAAUUCGAUGCAACGCGAAGAACCUUACCUGGUCUUGACAUCCACAGAAGAAUCCAGAGAUGGAUUUGUGCCUUCGGGAACUGUGAGACAGGUGCUGCAUGGCUGUCGUCAGCUCGUGUUGUGAAAUGUUGGGUUAAGUCCCGCAACGAGCGCAACCCUUAUCCUUUGUUGCCAGCGAUUAGGUCGGGAACUCAAAGGAGACUGCCAGUGAUAAACUGGAGGAAGGUGGGGAUGACGUCAAGUCAUCAUGGCCCUUACGACCAGGGCUACACACGUGCUACAAUGGCGCAUACAAAGAGAAGCGACCUCGCGAGAGCAAGCGGACCUCAUAAAGUGCGUCGUAGUCCGGAUUGGAGUCUGCAACUCGACUCCAUGAAGUCGGAAUCGCUAGUAAUCGUGGAUCAGAAUGCCACGGUGAAUACGUUCCCGGGCCUUGUACACACCGCCCGUCACACCAUGGGAGUGGGUUGCAAAAGAAGUAGGUAGCUUAACCUUCGGGAGGGCGCUUACCACUUUGUGAUUCAUGACUGGGGAGAAGUCGUAACAAGGU